CCUACGGGAGGCAGCAGUGGGGAAUAUUGGACAAUGGGCGAAAGCCUGAUCCAGCCAUGUCGCGUGUGUGAAGAAGGCCUUCGGGUUGUAAAGCACUUUCAGUGGGGAAGAAAGCCUUGGGGCUAAUACCCUCGAGGAAGGACAUCACCCACAGAAGAAGCACCGGCUAACUCCGUGCCAGCAGCCGCGGUAAUACGGAGGGUGCGAGCGUUAAUCGGAAUUACUGGGCGUAAAGCGCGCGUAGGCGGUCUGAUAAGCCGGUUGUGAAAGCCCCGGGCUCAACCUGGGAACGGCAUCCGGAACUGUCAGGCUAGAGUGCAGGAGAGGAAGGUAGAAUUCCCGGUGUAGCGGUGAAAUGCGUAGAGAUCGGGAGGAAUACCAGUGGCGAAGGCGGCCUUCUGGACUGACACUGACGCUGAGGUGCGAAAGCGUGGGUAGCAAACAGGAUUAGAUACCCCGUGUC
RNAcentral lists this ribosomal RNA (463 nucleotides) under Vreelandella stevensii. RNAcentral describes it as "partial 16S ribosomal RNA". It matches the Rfam family "Bacterial small subunit ribosomal RNA", at positions 338 to 795 of the family's 1533-position model. The record is from RNAcentral. Lineage: Bacteria; Pseudomonadati; Pseudomonadota; Gammaproteobacteria; Oceanospirillales; Halomonadaceae.